UGGGGGAGGCCAGAUGCCCUGGCAUGAAGCAGCCCUGUAGAGAAGCCCACAGGGUAAACUGAGUACAAAUUUCUAAGUCUGCCAACAGCUACGAGAGGGAGCCUGGCAGCAGAUUCCUCAGCCCCAAUCCGACUUUGAGAGAACUGCAGCCUUGGGAAAGACCUUGAGCUACAGGCACACCACUAAGAGGUCUGGACUCCGGGACCAUACAAACUAUGCCAGUUUCUAACUAAAAGGAGAGCUGAGACUAGAAGAAUCUGAAUAGUCCGUGAUGCUCUGUGAAACAUCAGGGCUGUUGUCUUGGUGUCACUUUCUACGCCCAAGCCUCUGAAAUGGGAUCGGUCAAGGUGGUGUGGAGAAGAGGCUGGAACUCAAGAGGAUUGGCACCAAAUUUCAGAGCACAUCCCAGGUACGGAAUCAACCCAUUCUCCAGAGGUGGUUCACCCAUUUGUCUGUAAGACACAAACAUACGAUAAGUAUGGGAAAUUACACAUUGCUUUUUUUAUUUACACCUGAUUUAAACUUUCACUACUGACUUCAAACUUUAAAAACCUACAGUUAUAGAUCAUUCUUUUGUUGGUGGGGCCCUGCUCUUUUACUAAAAUAAUGGGUUUUAUUAACCUAGUAACAUGAUAUGUUGGUAAAAAUGAUUGCUAAAUCCAU
This is a long non-coding RNA of Ailuropoda melanoleuca (giant panda), 663 nucleotides long. RefSeq lists it as uncharacterized. The transcript is spliced from 3 exons. NCBI's taxonomy places the organism in Eukaryota, Metazoa, Chordata, Mammalia, Carnivora, Ursidae. The record is from RefSeq and is a predicted model, not a curated record.